GGCCUCAAGUGAUGGAGCAAUGACCGGGGAGUACUGUGACCGAAUUGGGAUGUAUUCGUACUAUCUGAUGGGGCC
Rhinolophus ferrumequinum (greater horseshoe bat) is the source of this 75-nucleotide small nucleolar RNA. The record is from Ensembl. Lineage: Eukaryota; Metazoa; Chordata; Mammalia; Chiroptera; Rhinolophidae.